This 460-nucleotide ribosomal RNA is filed under the name uncultured bacterium. RNAcentral describes it as "partial 16S ribosomal RNA". It matches the Rfam family "Bacterial small subunit ribosomal RNA", at positions 338 to 795 of the family's 1533-position model. The record is from RNAcentral.
CCUACGGGUGGCAGCAGUGAGGAAUAUUGGUCAAUGGGGGAGAUCCUGAACCAGCCAAGCCGCGUGAGGGAAGACGGCCCUAUGUGUUGUAAACCUCUUUUGUCGGAGAACAAAACCCGGGACGUGUCCCGGACUGCGUGUAUCCGUAGAAAAAGCAUCGGCUAACUCCGUGCCAGCAGCCGCGGUAAUACGGAGGAUGCGAGCGUUAUCCGGAUUUAUUGGGUUUAAGGGGAGCGUAGGCCGGUCUUUAAGCCUGACGUGAAAUUUUGUGGCGCAACCAUGAGAGUGCGGCGCGAACUGGAGACCUUGAGUGCGCGGAAGGCAGGCGGAAUUCGUGGUGUAGCGGUGAAAUGCUUAGAUAUCACGAAGAACCCCGAUUGCGAAGGCAGCCUGCCGCAGCGUUACUGACGCUGAAGCUCGAAAGCGCGGGUAUCGAACAGGAUUAGAUACCCCAGUAGUC